RNAcentral lists this small RNA (129 nucleotides) under Marmota monax (woodchuck). Lineage: Eukaryota; Metazoa; Chordata; Mammalia; Rodentia; Sciuridae. The record is from RNAcentral.
GCCAGGCACAGUGGCACAUGCCUGUAAUCCCAGCAGCUCGGGAGGCAGAGGCAGGAGGAUCAUGAGUUCAAAGCCAGCCUCAACAAUUUAGCGAGGCGCUUAAGCUAACUCAGUGAGACCCUGUCUCUA